GACGAACGCUGGCGGCGUGCUUAACACAUGCAAGUCGAACGGAAAGGCCCUGCUUUUGUGGGGUGCUCGAGUGGCGAACGGGUGAGUAACACGUGAGUAACCUGCCCUUGACUUUGGGAUAACUUCAGGAAACUGGGGCUAAUACCGGAUAGGAGCUCCUGCUGCAUGGUGGGGGUUGGAAAGUUUCGGCGGUUGGGGAUGGACUCGCGGCUUAUCAGCUUGUUGGUGGGGUAGUGGCUUGCCAAGGCUUUGACGGGUAGCCGGCCUGAGAGGGUGACCGGCCACAUUGGGACUGAGAUACGGCCCAGACUCCUACGGGAGGCAGCAGUGGGGAAUAUUGCACAAUGGGCGGAAGCCUGAUGCAGCAACGCCGCGUGCGGGAUGACGGCCUUCGGGUUGUAAACCGCUUUCGCCUGUGACGAGGCGUGAGUGACGGUAAUGGGUAAAGAAGCACCGGCUAACUACGUG
RNAcentral lists this ribosomal RNA (468 nucleotides) under uncultured bacterium. Its description in RNAcentral is "partial 16S ribosomal RNA". It matches the Rfam family "Bacterial small subunit ribosomal RNA", at positions 28 to 507 of the family's 1533-position model. The record is from RNAcentral.